AUUGAACGCUGGCGGCAUGCCUUACACAUGCAAGUCGAACGGCAGCGCGGACUUCGGUCUGGCGGCGAGUGGCGAACGGGUGAGUAAUACAUCGGAACGUACCCUGUUGUGGGGGAUAACUAGUCGAAAGAUUAGCUAAUACCGCAUACGACCUGAGGGUGAAAGUGGGGGACCGCAAGGCCUCACGCAGCAGGAGCGGCCGAUGUCUGAUUAGCUAGUUGGUGGGGUAAAGGCCCACCAAGGCGACGAUCAGUAGCUAGUCUGAGAGGGCGAUCAGCCACACUGGGACUGAGACACGGCCCAGACUCCUACGGGAGGCAGCAGUGGGGAAUUUUGGACAAUGGGGGCAACCCUGAUCCAGCAAUGCCGCGUGUGUGAAGAAGGCCUUCGGGUUGUAAAGCACUUUUGUCCGGAAAGAAAUCGCGCUGGUUAAUACCUGGCGUGGAUGACGGUACCGGAAGAAUAAGCACCGGCUAACUACGUG
This 484-nucleotide ribosomal RNA is filed under the name uncultured bacterium. RNAcentral's name for it is "partial 16S ribosomal RNA". It matches the Rfam family "Bacterial small subunit ribosomal RNA", at positions 30 to 507 of the family's 1533-position model. The record is from RNAcentral.